RNAcentral lists this ribosomal RNA (1083 nucleotides) under Leuconostoc mesenteroides. RNAcentral describes it as "bacterial SSU rRNA". It matches the Rfam family "Bacterial small subunit ribosomal RNA", at positions 39 to 1099 of the family's 1533-position model. The record is from RNAcentral. Lineage: Bacteria; Bacillati; Bacillota; Bacilli; Lactobacillales; Lactobacillaceae.
GCGGUGGGCGGCUGCUAUACAUGCAGUCGAACGCACAGCGAAAGGUGCUUGCACCUUUCAAGUGAGUGGCGAACGGGUGAGUAACACGUGGACAACCUGCCUCAAGGCUGGGGAUAACAUUUGGAAACAGAUGCUAAUACCGAAUAAAACUUAGUGUCGCAUGACACAAAGUUAAAAGGCGCUUCGGCGUCACCUAGAGAUGGAUCCGCGGUGCAUUAGUUAGUUGGUGGGGUAAAGGCCUACCAAGACAAUGAUGCAUAGCCGAGUUGAGAGACUGAUCGGCCACAUUGGGACUGAGACACGGCCCAAACUCCUACGGGAGGCUGCAGUAGGGAAUCUUCCACAAUGGGCGAAAGCCUGAUGGAGCAACGCCGCGUGUGUGAUGAAGGCUUUCGGGUCGUAAAGCACUGUUGUAUGGGAAGAACAGCUAGAAUAGGAAAUGAUUUUAGUUUGACGGUACCAUACCAGAAAGGGACGGCUAAAUACGUGCCAGCAGCCGCGGUAAUACGUAUGUCCCGAGCGUUAUCCGGAUUUAUUGGGCGUAAAGCGAGCGCAGACGGUUUAUUAAGUCUGAUGUGAAAGCCCGGAGCUCAACUCCGGAAUGGCAUUGGAAACUGGUUAACUUGAGUGCAGUAGAGGUAAGUGGAACUCCAUGUGUAGCGGUGGAAUGCGUAGAUAUAUGGAAGAACACCAGUGGCGAAGGCGGCUUACUGGACUGCAACUGACGUUGAGGCUCGAAAGUGUGGGUAGCAAACAGGAUUAGAUACCCUGGUAGUCCACACCGUAAACGAUGAACACUAGGUGUUAGGAGGUUUCCGCCUCUUAGUGCCGAAGCUAACGCAUUAAGUGUUCCGCCUGGGGAGUACGACCGCAAGGUUGAAACUCAAAGGAAUUGACGGGGACCCGCACAAGCGGUGGAGCAUGUGGUUUAAUUCGAAGCAACGCGAAGAACCUUACCAGGUCUUGACAUCCUUUGAAGCUUUUAGAGAUAGAAGUGUUCUCUUCGGAGACAAAGUGACAGGUGGUGCAUGGUCGUCGUCAGCUCGUGUCGUGAGAUGUUGGGUUAAGUCCCGCAACGAGCGC